UCAUCUUCCGCCCAGUGUGGAACUUUGGUC
This 30-nucleotide non-coding RNA is filed under the name Rattus norvegicus (Norway rat). The record is from RNAcentral. Lineage: Eukaryota; Metazoa; Chordata; Mammalia; Rodentia; Muridae.